RNAcentral lists this ribosomal RNA (301 nucleotides) under uncultured bacterium. RNAcentral describes it as "partial 16S ribosomal RNA". It matches the Rfam family "Bacterial small subunit ribosomal RNA", at positions 509 to 807 of the family's 1533-position model. The record is from RNAcentral.
CAGUCGCCGCGGGAAUACGAAGGGUGCAAGCGUUAAUCGGAAUUACUGGGCGUAAAGCGUGCGUAGGCGGUGAGUUAAGUCUGCUGUGAAAUCCCCGGGCUCAACCUGGGAAUGGCAGUGGAUACUGGCUCGCUAGAGUGUGUCAGAGGAUGGUGGAAUUCCCGGUGUAGCGGUGAAAUGCGUAGAUAUGCGGAGGAACACCGAUGGCGAAGGCAAUCCCCUGGGCCUGCACUGACGCUCAUGCACGAAAGCGUGGGGAGCAAACAGGAUUAGAGACCCGAGUAGUCCCUGUCUCUUAUAC